Molecule: ribosomal RNA, 460 nt
Filed under: uncultured bacterium
Lineage: Bacteria
Description: partial 16S ribosomal RNA
Rfam family: Bacterial small subunit ribosomal RNA
Source: RNAcentral
CCUACGGUGAGCUGCAGUGAGGAAUAUUGGUCAAUGGACGAGAGUCUGAACCAGCCAAGUAGCGUGAAGGAUGACUGCCCUAUGGGUUGUAAACUUCUUUUAUAAAGGAAUAAAACGAGGCACGUGUGCCUUUUUGCAUGUACUUUAUGAAUAAGGAUCGGCUAACUCCGUGCCAGCAGCCGCGGUAAUACGGAGGAUCCGAGCGUUAUCCGGAUUUAUUGGGUUUAAAGGGAGCGUAGAUGGGUUGUUAAGUCAGUUGUGAAAGUUUGCGGCUCAACCGUAAAAUUGCAAUUGAUACUGGCAGUCUUGAGGACAGUUGAGGUAGGCGGAAUUCGUGGUGUAGCGGUGAAAUGCUUAGAUAUCACGAAGAACUCCGAUUGCGAAGGCAGCUUACUAAACUGCCACUGACAUUGAUGCUCGAAAGUGUGGGUAUCAAACAGGACUAGAUACCCUUGUAGUC